AUAAUUUACAGACGCCAGUGCAAAACAAAAAAUACAGGGCUCCUUGCUAAAAAUUCAUUAAGAAUUAUUUUUUCAGGAUGGCAAUAAAAGAGCACUAAACCAAGCAUGGGGCCCAGUGCAGCUGCACAGAGGAUGCAUGCCCAUCAAGACAACUCUUGACACCAAGCUAAACAGUGUCUCACGGUUCAAACCCAGCUGUCCCCUCCAAGGAAAAGAGCUGAGCAAGGAGCACCACCAGCUGGCCAUGUCCCUGGAGAAAGAGUUGCUUCCCCAACAGGCAGAGCUGGUGGUGACCAUCCUGGACCCAAUUCUUCCCAGGCAGGGGGAGGCAGUCUUCACCUCAGGCUGUGCAAAGGCUUUUACAGUGAGGAGCUGAAGGGAUACGGGUGUGUAUGUACGCUGCUCCAGAAGCAGCAGAGACGCUGAACAGGAGACAACAGGAACCAAGUGAUCUCGC
RNAcentral lists this long non-coding RNA (457 nucleotides) under Sus scrofa (pig). RNAcentral's name for it is "lncRNA (ENSSSCG00035051909.1)". The record is from RNAcentral. Lineage: Eukaryota; Metazoa; Chordata; Mammalia; Artiodactyla; Suidae.